GCAGUCGAGCGCCCCGCAAGGGGAGCGGCAGACGGGUGAGUAACGCGUGGGAACAUACCCUUUCCUGCGGAAUAGCUCCGGGAAACUGGAAUUAAUACCGCAUACGCCCUACGGGGGAAAGAUUUAUCGGGGAAGGAUUGGCCCGCGUUGGAUUAGCUAGUUGGUGGGGUAAAGGCCUACCAAGGCGACGAUCCAUAGCUGGUCUGAGAGGAUGAUCAGCCACAUUGGGACUGAGACACGGCCCAAACUCCUACGGGAGGCAGCAGUGGGGAAUAUUGGACAAUGGGCGCAAGCCUGAUCCAGCCAUGCCGCGUGAGUGAUGAAGGCCUUAGGGUUGUAAAGCUCUUUCACCGGAGAAGAAAUGACGGUAUCCGGAGAAAGAAGC
RNAcentral lists this ribosomal RNA (385 nucleotides) under Rhizobium sp. RNAcentral describes it as "bacterial SSU rRNA". It matches the Rfam family "Bacterial small subunit ribosomal RNA", at positions 57 to 491 of the family's 1533-position model. Lineage: Bacteria; Pseudomonadati; Pseudomonadota; Alphaproteobacteria; Hyphomicrobiales; Rhizobiaceae. The record is from RNAcentral.